This 314-nucleotide unclassified non-coding RNA is filed under the name uncultured Tomentella. RNAcentral's name for it is "sequence contains ITS2". The record is from RNAcentral. Lineage: Eukaryota; Fungi; Basidiomycota; Agaricomycetes; Thelephorales; Thelephoraceae.
AACGCACCUUGCGCCCUUUGGCUAUUCCGAAGGGCAUGCCUGUUUGAGUAUCAUGAACAUCUCAACUCUCAUGGUUUGCCAUGAUGAGCUUGGACUUUGGAGGUUUUGCUGGCCUAUGGUCAGCUCCUCUCAAAUGAAUCAGCUUGCCAGUGUUUGGUGGCAUCACAGGUGUGAUAACUAUCUACGCUCGUGAUUGUCCACCAGCUAACCUUCAGCGAUGGAGGUUUGCUGGAGCUCACAGACGUCUCUCCCCAGUGAAGACAGCUUUUUGAACGUUCGAUCUCAAAUCAGGUAGGACUACCCGCUGAACUUAA